RNAcentral lists this ribosomal RNA (494 nucleotides) under uncultured bacterium. RNAcentral's name for it is "partial 16S ribosomal RNA". It matches the Rfam family "Bacterial small subunit ribosomal RNA", at positions 28 to 507 of the family's 1533-position model. The record is from RNAcentral.
GACGAACGCUGGCGGCGUGCUUAACACAUGCAAGUCGAACGGUGAAGCGCCUUCCUUUUUGGUGGGUGUGGAUGAGUGGCGAACGGGUGAGUAACACGUGAGUAGCCUGCCCCCUUCUUCUGGAUAACCGCAUGAAAGUGUGGCUAAUACGGGAUAUUCUGGGUCUGUCGCAUGAUGGGUCUGGGAAAGAUAUUGUUUCGGUGGGGGAUGGGCUCGCGGCCUAUCAGCUUGUUGGUGGGGUGAUGGCCUACCAAGGCGGUGACGGGUAGCCGGCCUGAGAGGGUGGACGGUCACACUGGGACUGAGACACGGCCCAGACUCCUACGGGAGGCAGCAGUGGGGAAUAUUGCACAAUGGGCGCAAGCCUGAUGCAGCGACGCCGCGUGAGGGAUGGAGGCCUUCGGGUUGUGAACCUCUUUCGCCAGUGAAGCAGGCCUGCCUCGUUUGUGGGUGGGUUGACGGUAGCUGGAGAAGAAGCGCCGGCUAACUACGUG